AUGUCCAUGGAUUGCUUCAUCCUCGCGUUCGCGCUGCCCGUGGUCUACAUCACCAGCAUCUACAGCACGGCCGUGAUGGUCAGCAUUUUCAUCGACCAGGUGCGCAGGCCCAACAGCAUGGGCUCCAUCGUCGCGUUCUCGUUCGUACUCAUUAUCUGGGUCACCUUCAUCGCCGGUGCGUGCACGCUCUUGUGCUGCUUCACCGUCUCGCUGCCGGCGGUGCGUCGGUGCCUGGCCUCCGUCCCCGGGGCACUCCGUGGCGCGGGCCGACUUCUCUGCCUUCCGUCCGGUGCUAGCGCCGGGCUACGGCGCGGAAGCGACGGCGGCGGCGGCAGCGCUCUGCCGCUGGACCAGACACCGAGUCACAUGCCCGUGCUGGCCCGGGAGCAGCCGGUGCAUGGUGGCGCGCGGGUGGCGCCGGCGUAUGACAUCCUGGCGUACGAGCAGCCGGAGGGCGCCGGCGGGUCGAAGUGCGCGGUCUGCCUCGGAGAGGUGGAGAAGGGGGACACAGUGAAGCGGCUGCCGGUGUGCCUGCACAUGUUCCACUAG
This 549-nucleotide ribosomal RNA is filed under the name Triticum aestivum (bread wheat). RNAcentral describes it as "partial small subunit ribosomal RNA". The record is from RNAcentral. Lineage: Eukaryota; Viridiplantae; Streptophyta; Magnoliopsida; Poales; Poaceae.